This 1505-nucleotide ribosomal RNA is filed under the name metagenome. RNAcentral's name for it is "bacterial LSU rRNA". It matches the Rfam family "Bacterial large subunit ribosomal RNA", at positions 1277 to 2910 of the family's 2925-position model. The record is from RNAcentral.
AUAGAUCGGAAGCGAGAAUGUUGACAUGAGUAGCGACAAACAGGGUGAGAAACCCUGUCGCCGAAAGUCCAAGGGUUCCUGCUUAAAGCUAAUCUGAGCAGGGUAAGCCGGCCCCUAAGGCGAGGCCGAAAGGCGUAGUCGAUGGGAACCAGGUUAAUAUUCCUGGGCCAGUGGGAUGUGACGGAUCGCAGAUGUAGUUUGCCCUUAUCGGAUUGGGUGGGCUGCUGAGCGGUUCCUGGAAAUAGCCCCACAUCAGACCGUACCCUAAACCGACACAGGUGGACUGGUAGAGUAUACCAAGGCGCUUGAGAGAACCACGUUAAAGGAACUCGGCAAAAUGCCUCCGUAAGUUCGCGAGAAGGAGGCCCCAUAUGUGCGCAAGCAUGUGUGGGGGGCACAAACUAGGGGGUGGCGACUGUUUACUUAAAACACAGGGCUGUGUGAAGCCGUAAGGCGACGUAUACAGUCUGACGCCUGCCCGGUGCUGGAAGAUUAAGAGGAGGGGUGCAAGCUCUGAAUUGAAGUCCCAGUAAACGGCGGCCGUAACAAUAACGGUCCUAAGGUAGCGAAAUUCCUUGUCGGGUAAGUUCCGACCUGCACGAAUGGCGUAACGAUCUCCCCGCUGUCUCUAACGUGGACUCAGCGAAAUUGAACUGUCUGUCAAGAUGCAGACUACCCGCGGUUAGACGGAAAGACCCCAUGAACCUUUACUCCAGCUUUGCAUUGGCAACAGGACUGUGAUGUGCAGGAUAGGUGGUAGGCAUUGAAGCGGGGACGCCAGUCUUCGUGGAGCCUCCCUUGAGAUACCACCCUUCGCCGUCUUGUUGUCUAACCGCGACCCGUUAUCCGGGCCCGGGACCGUGCAUGGUGGGGAGUUUGACUGGGGCGGUCGCCUCCCAAAUUGUAACGGAGGCGCGCGAUGGUUGGCUCAGACCGGUCGGAAAUCGGUCGUUGAGUGCAAUGGCAGAAGCCAGCCUGACUGCAAGACUGACAAGUCGAGCAGAGACGAAAGUCGGUCAUAGUGAUCCGGUGGUCCCAAGUGGGAGGGCCAUCGCUCAACGGAUAAAAGGUACUCUGGGGAUAACAGGCUGAUGAUGCCCAAGAGUCCAUAUCGACGGCAUCGUUUGGCACCUCGAUGUCGGCUCUUCUCAUCCUGGGGCUGGAGCAGGUCCUAAGGGUAUGGCUGUUCGCCAUUUAAAGAGGUACGUGAGCUGGGUUUAGAACGUCGUGAGACAGUUCGGUCCCUAUCUGCCGUGGGUGCAGGAGACUUGAGAAGAGUUGACCCUAGUACGAGAGGACCGGGUUGAACGAACCACUGGUGGACCAGUUGUCGUGCCAACGGCAGUGCUGGGUAGCUAUGUUCGGACAGGAUAACCGCUGAAGGCAUCUAAGCGGGAAGCCCCCCUCAAAACAAGGUCUCCCUUGAGAGCCGUGGAAGACCACCACGUCGAUAGGCCAGAGGUGUAAGUGCAGCAAUGCAUUCAGCUGACUGGUACUAAUUGCUC